AUGACCUGUGGCUGGGGGUGAAAGGCCAAUCAAACCGGGAGAUAGCUGGUUCUCCCCGAAAGCUAUUUAGGUAGCGCCUCGUGAAUUCAUCUCCGGGGGUAGAGCACUGUUUCGGCUAGGGGGCCAUCCCGGCUUACCAACCCGAUGCAAACUGCGAAUACCGGAGAAUGUUAUCACGGGAGACACACGGCGGGUGCUAACGUCCGUCGUGAAGAGGGAAACAACCCAGACCGCCAGCUAAGGUCCCAAAGUCAUGGUUAAGUGGGAAACGAUGUGGGAAGGCCCAGACAGCCAGGAUGUUGGCUUAGAAGCAGCCAUCAUUUAAAGAAAGCGUAAUAGCUCACUGGUCGAGUCGGCCUGCGCGGAAGAUGUAACGGGGCUAAACCAUGCACCGAAGCUGCGGCAGCGACACUGUGUGUUGUUGGGUAGGGGAGCGUUCUGUAAGCCUGUGAAGGUGUGUCGUGAGGCAUGCUGGAGGUAUCAGAAGUGCGAAUGCUGACAUAAGUAACGAUAAAGCGGGUGAAAAGCCCGCUCGCCGGAAGACCAAGGGUUCCUGUCCAACGUUAAUCGGGGCAGGGUGAGUCGACCCCUAAGGCGAGGCCGAAAGGCGUAGUCGAUGGGAAACGGGUUAAUAUUCCCGUACUUGGUGUUACUGCGAAGGGGGGACGGAGAAGGCUAUGUUGGCCGGGCGACGGUUGUCCCGGUUUAAGCGUGUAGGUGUGUGUUCCAGGUAAAUCCGGUUCACUUUAACACUGAGGCGUGACGACGAGGCACUACGGUGCUGAAGCAACAAAUGCCCUGCUUCCAGGAAAAGCCUCUAAGCAUCAGGUAACAUCAAAUCGUACCCCAAACCGACACAGGUGGUCAGGUAGAGAAUACCAAGGCGCUUGAGAGAACUCGGGUGAAGGAACUAGGCAAAAUGGUGCCGUAACUUCGGGAGAAGGCACGCUGACACGUAGGUGAAGUGAUUUACUCAUGGAGCUGAAGUCAGUCGAAGAUACCAGCUGGCUGCAACUGUUUAUUAAAAACACAGCACUGUGCAAACACGAAAGUGGACGUAUACGGUGUGACGCCUGCCCGGUGCCGGAAGGUUAAUUGAUGGGGUCAGCGCAAGCGAAGCUCCUGAUCGAAGCCCCGGUAAACGGCGGCCGUAACUAUAACGGUCCUAAGGUAGCGAAAUUCCUUGUCGGGUAAGUUCCGACCUGCACGAAUGGCGUAAUGAUGGCCAGGCUGUCUCCACCCGAGACUCAGUGAAAUUGAACUCGCUGUGAAGAUGCAGUGUACCCGCGGCAAGACGGAAAGACCCCGUGAACCUUUACUAUAGCUUGACACUGAACAUUGAGCCUUGAUGUGUAG
Molecule: ribosomal RNA, 1356 nt
Filed under: Salmonella enterica
Lineage: Bacteria; Pseudomonadati; Pseudomonadota; Gammaproteobacteria; Enterobacterales; Enterobacteriaceae
Description: partial 23S ribosomal RNA
Rfam family: Bacterial large subunit ribosomal RNA
Source: RNAcentral